UACGUAGGGACCAAGCGUUGUUCGGAUUUACUGGGCGUAAAGGGCGCGUAGGCGGCGUGGUAAGUCACUUGUGAAAUCUCUGAGCUUAACUCAGAACGGCCAAGUGAUACUGCUGUGCUAGAGUGCAGAAGGGGCAAUCGGAAUUCCUGGUGGAGCGGUGAAAUGCGCAGAUAUCAGGAGGAACACCCGUAGCGAAGGCGGCACUCUGGGCCGAUACUGACGCUGAUGCGCGAAAGCGUGGGGAGCAAACGGG
This 253-nucleotide ribosomal RNA is filed under the name uncultured bacterium. Its description in RNAcentral is "partial 16S ribosomal RNA". It matches the Rfam family "Bacterial small subunit ribosomal RNA", at positions 524 to 776 of the family's 1533-position model. The record is from RNAcentral.